UCUAAGCAGAGCCCUUGAAUGGUAAAGCCGCGAAUGGCUCAUUACAACAGCCACAGUUUAUUGGGUCUCCAUUUACUUGGAUAACUGAGCUAAUUGUUGAGCUAAUACACGCACCAAAGCUUCGACCUCACGGGAGGAGCGCAUUUAUUAGAACAAAACCAAUCGGACUUCGGUCCGUCCAUUGGUGAAUCUAAAUAACUUAGCCGAUCGCAUGGUCUCGCACCGGCGACUCACCUUUCAAAUGUCUGCCUUAUCACCUUUCGAUGGUAGUUUAUACGCCUACCAUGGGUUUUACGGGUAACGGAGAAUAAGGGUUCGACUCCGGAGAGGGAGCCUGAGAAACGGCUACCACAUCCAAGGAAGGCAGCAGGCACGCAAAUUACCCACUCCCGGCACGGGGAGGUAGUGACGAAAAAUUACGAGGCGGUUCUCUAUGAGGCCCGCCAUCGGAAUGGGUACAAUCUACA
RNAcentral lists this ribosomal RNA (467 nucleotides) under unidentified nematode Sourhope farm. RNAcentral's name for it is "SSU rRNA". It matches the Rfam family "Eukaryotic small subunit ribosomal RNA", at positions 58 to 529 of the family's 1831-position model. Lineage: Eukaryota; Metazoa; Nematoda. The record is from RNAcentral.